UGGCUCAGAUUGAACGCUGGCGGCAGGCCUAACACAUGCAAGUCGAGCGGUAGAGAGAAGCUUGCUUCUCUUGAGAGCGGCGGACGGGUGAGUAAUGCCUAGGAAUCUGCCUGGUAGUGGGGGAUAACGUUCGGAAACGGACGCUAAUACCGCAUACGUCCUACGGGAGAAAGCAGGGGACCUUCGGGCCUUGCGCUAUCAGAUGAGCCUAGGUCGGAUUAGCUAGUUGGUGAGGUAAUGGCUCACCAAGGCGACGAUCCGUAACUGGUCUGAGAGGAUGAUCAGUCACACUGGAACUGAGACACGGUCCAGACUCCUACGGGAGGCAGCAGUGGGGAAUAUUGGACAAUGGGCGAAAGCCUGAUCCAGCCAUGCCGCGUGUGUGAAGAAGGUCUUCGGAUUGUAAAGCACUUUAAGUUGGGAGGAAGGGCAGUUACCUAAUACGUGAUUGUUUUGACGUUACCGACAGAAUAAGCACCGGCUAACUCUGUGCCAGCAGCCGCGGUAAUACAGAGGGUGCAAGCGUUAAUCGGAAUUACUGGGCGUAAAGCGCGCGUAGGUGGUUAGUUAAGUUGGAUGUGAAAUCCCCGGGCUCAACCUGGGAACUGCAUUCAAAACUGACUGACUAGAGUAUGGUAGAGGGUGGUGGAAUUUCCUGUGUAGCGGUGAAAUGCGUAGAUAUAGGAAGGAACACCAGUGGCGAAGGCGACCACCUGGACUGAUACUGACACUGAGGUGCGAAAGCGUGGGGGAGCAAACAGGAUUAGAUACCCUG
Molecule: ribosomal RNA, 775 nt
Filed under: Pseudomonas sp. CZ2
Lineage: Bacteria; Pseudomonadati; Pseudomonadota; Gammaproteobacteria; Pseudomonadales; Pseudomonadaceae
Description: bacterial SSU rRNA
Rfam family: Bacterial small subunit ribosomal RNA
Source: RNAcentral